RNAcentral lists this ribosomal RNA (253 nucleotides) under uncultured bacterium. RNAcentral describes it as "partial 16S ribosomal RNA". It matches the Rfam family "Bacterial small subunit ribosomal RNA", at positions 524 to 776 of the family's 1533-position model. The record is from RNAcentral.
GACGAACCGAGCGAACGUUAUUCGGAAUCACUGGGCUUAAAGGGCGCGUAGGCGGGCCAUCAAGUCAGGGGUGAAAGCCCCCAGCUCAACUGGGGAAGUGCCUCUGAUACUGGUGGCCUCGAGGGAGGUAGGGGCGUGCGGGACUUCCGGUGGAGCGGUGAAAUGCGUAGAUAUCGGAAGGAACAUCGGUGGCGAAAGCGGCGCGCUGGACCUCUUCUGACGCUGAGGCGCGAAAGCCAGGGGAGCGAACGGG